AGUGUUGUUGGGUAGGGGAGCGUUCUGUAAGCCUGCGAAGGUGUACUGUGAGGUAUGCUGGAGGUAUCAGAAGUGCGAAUGCUGACAUAAGUAACGAUAAUGCGGGUGAAAAACCCGCACGCCGGAAGACCAAGGGUUCCUGUCCAACGUUAAUCGGGGCAGGGUGAGUCGACCCCUAAGGCGAGGCUGAAAAGCGUAGUCGAUGGGAAACGGGUUAAUAUUCCCGUACUGGUGGUAACUGCGAUGGGGGAACGGAGAAGGCUAGGUUGUCCGGGCGACGGUCGUCCCGGUUCAAGCAGGUAGGCAGAGUGAUUAGGCAAAUCCGGUCACUUAAUGCUGAGAUGUGAUGACGAACCACCAAGGUGGUGAAGCAAUUGAUGCCCCGCUUCCAGGAAAAGCCUCUAAGCUUCAGGUUACCAACAAUCGUACCCCAAACCGACACAGGUGGUCAGGUAGAGAAUACUCAGGCGCUUGAGAGAACUCGGGUGAAGGAACUAGGCAAAAUGGUGCCGUAACUUCGGGAGAAGGCACGCUGGCGGUAGGUAAAGUCCCUUGCGGACGGCGCUGAAGCCAGUCGAAGAUACCAGCUGGCUGCAACUGUUUAUUAAAAACACAGCACUGUGCAAACACGAAAGUGGACGUAUACGGUGUGACGCCUGCCCGGUGCUGGAAGGUUAAUUGAUGGGGUUAGCCGCAAGGCGAAGCUCCUGAUCGAAGCCCCAGUAAACGGCGGCCGUAACUAUAACGGUCCUAAGGUAGCGAAAUUCCUUGUCGGGUAAGUUCCGACCUGCACGAAUGGCGUAAUGAUGGCCAGGCUGUCUCCACCCGAGACUCAGUGAAAUUGAACUCGCUGUGAAGAUGCAGUGUACCCGCGGCAAGACGGAAAGACCCCGUGAACCUUUACUAUAGCUUGACACUGAACAUUGAGCCUUGAUGUGUAGGAUAGGUGGGAGGCUUUGAAGUGUGGACGCCAGUCUGCAUGGAGCCAACCUUGAAAUACCACCCUUUAACGUUUGAUGUUCUAACCUAGGCCCAUAAACUGGGUCGGGGACCGUGUCUGGUGGGUAGUUUGACUGGGGCGGUCUCCUCCUAAAGAGUAACGGAGGAGCACGAAGGUUGGCUAAGCAUGGUCGGACAUCAUGCGGUUAGUGCAAAGGCAUAAGCCAGCUUGACUGCGAGAGUGACGGCUCGAGCAGGUACGAAAGUAGGUCUUAGUGAUCCGGUGGUUCUGAAUGGAAGGGCCAUCGCUCAACGGAUAAAAGGUACUCCGGGGAUAACAGGCUGAUACCGCCCAAGAGUUCAUAUCGACGGCGGUGUUUGGCACCUCGAUGUCGGCUCAUCACAUCCUGGGGCUGAAGUAGGUCCCAAGGGUAUGGCUGUUCGCCAUUUAAAGUGGUACGCGAGCUGGGUUUAGAACGUCGUGAGACAGUUCGGUCCCUAUCUGCCGUGGGCGUUGGAAGAUUGAGAGGGGUUGCUCCUAGUACGAGAGGACCGGAGUGAACGCACCACUGGUGUUCGGGUUGUCAUGCCAAUGGCAUUGCCCGGUAGCUAAGUGCGGAAGAGAUAACCGCUGAAAGCAUCUAAGCGGGAAACUUGCCUCGAGAUGAGUCUUCCCUGUCGCUUUAAGCGACCUAAAGGAACGUUUAAGACUAAGACGUUGAUAGGCUGGGUGUGUAAGCGUAGCGAUACGUUGAGCUAACCAGUACUAAUGAACCGUGAGGCUUAACCUG
RNAcentral lists this ribosomal RNA (1730 nucleotides) under Proteus mirabilis. RNAcentral describes it as "partial 23S ribosomal RNA". It matches the Rfam family "Bacterial large subunit ribosomal RNA", at positions 1217 to 2925 of the family's 2925-position model. The record is from RNAcentral. Lineage: Bacteria; Pseudomonadati; Pseudomonadota; Gammaproteobacteria; Enterobacterales; Morganellaceae.